Molecule: ribosomal RNA, 484 nt
Filed under: uncultured bacterium
Lineage: Bacteria
Description: partial 16S ribosomal RNA
Rfam family: Bacterial small subunit ribosomal RNA
Source: RNAcentral
AUCGAACGCUGGCGGCAUGCUUUACACAUGCAAGUCGAACGGCAGCGCGGGCUUCGGCCUGGCGGCGAGUGGCGAACGGGUGAGUAAUGCAUCUGAACGUGCCCAGAAGUGGGGGAUAGCGCGGCGAAAGCCGGAUUAAUACCGCAUCCGACCUGAGGGUGCAAGCGGGGGACCGAAAGGCCUCGCGCUAUUGGAGCGGCCGAGGUCGGUAUAGCUAGUUGGUGGGGUAAAGGCUUACCAAGGCGAAGAACCGAAGCUGGUCUGAGAGGACGACCAGCCACACUGGGAGUGAGACAGGGCCCAGACUCCGACGGGAGGCAGCGGUGGGGAAUUUUGGACAAAGGGGGCAACCCUGAUCCAGCAAUGCCGCGUGCGGGAAGAAGGCGUUCGGGUUGUAGACCGCUUUUGUUCGGGAAGAAAUACUCUGGGCUAAUACCCCGGGGGGAUGACGGUACCGGAAGAAUAAGCACUGGCUAACUACGUG